UUGCUACUAUUUCAUAAUAUAAUAUACUCGACCAUGAAGAUUAAAUAAUUUCUCAAGUGGUCGCUGUGCACAAAAAAGAACAGAAAUAUAUGACAUCAUUUUAACCUAGGAGCACGGAUUCCACCCGGCCUUUUUUUUCUGGGAAAGAAAACUUCGACCCACGCCACAAACCUCUUGUAUAAUUAACUUGAAGUGCUCCUAUGAUUGCAGCCAGCACUCCCCAAAAGAAUGUACAAUCACCAAAAAUCAGGCAAUGACUUGUUCAGAGGCACAUGCCACAACUAUUCUACUCUAUUUGCACAUGUCAUAAUAAUUGAUUUCAUCAUUUCUUUAUCCAAAGACGUUUGAACCAUCACCUGCUCAAGAUGAUUACUGUUUAGGAUUAAAUUAUACUAUGCAUGAGUAUGAAAAUAGGUCAAUUUUGCGACUUCAUCACUUGGCUCAGCAAACUUCUCUAGUUCUUUAUUAGAACUUGGUCUGUGUGGCUGUUCCAACAAGGUCAACUUCUCGACUUCAUCACUCGGCUCUGCAAACUUCUCAAGUUCUUUAUUGCAACUUGGCCGGUGUGGCUGUUCUAACAAGGUCAAUUUACUAACUUCAUCACUUGGCUUUGCAGACUUCUCUACUUCUUUAUUGCAGCCUGGUCUGUGUGGUUGUUCCAACAAGGUCAAGUUACUAACUUCAUAACUUGGCUCUUCUUUCCGCGUCUUCAACUCACUUUCAACAUUUUUACCAAUUAACGAUCCAGGCUUUCUCAACAAUGUCAUGUCACUAAACUUCUCCUUCACUUGUCCACUCUGCAUUUUAAGAGAAA
This 814-nucleotide long non-coding RNA is filed under the name Medicago truncatula (barrel medic). RNAcentral's name for it is "lncRNA gene49869". The record is from RNAcentral. Lineage: Eukaryota; Viridiplantae; Streptophyta; Magnoliopsida; Fabales; Fabaceae.